UAGAGAUCGACGGGUCUCUAAAGGAUGUGACAGAAUAACUUCUGUGGUCAAGCACGGAGUAAUGUAAAGUAGGAUAGGGGUGGUGCCCGCUGCAGGACCAGGAGACUGAGAGUUGCAGAACCCGAUAAGACCUAGGGAUCCGAAAGUUCUAGAGAGUACUGGUUGUCAGUGAGACCCUCUAGUUGUGAGUAUGACAGAAUCUCACCAUCCACAUU
Molecule: non-coding RNA, 215 nt
Filed under: Synechococcus phage S-CREM1
Lineage: Duplodnaviria; Heunggongvirae; Uroviricota; Caudoviricetes; Pantevenvirales; Kyanoviridae
Description: manA
Rfam family: manA RNA
About the family: manA RNA has been located in 5'UTR regions of genes of mannose or fructose metabolism. Has been proposed as a cis-regulatory element and as a riboswitch candidate for his complex secondary structure.
Source: RNAcentral